AAAGCAGGUUGCAAUUACAGUGCUUCAUUUUGUGGAAGUGCUGCCAUUAUCCUGCUGAAAGAAAGUCUUGUGUUGAUCAUUUUUGAUUUUGCCUAUAUGAGGGUAAAAUCAUUACAGAUUGACAUGGACAAUU
Pteropus vampyrus (large flying fox) is the source of this 133-nucleotide small nucleolar RNA. NCBI's taxonomy places the organism in Eukaryota, Metazoa, Chordata, Mammalia, Chiroptera, Pteropodidae. The record is from Ensembl.